RNAcentral lists this ribosomal RNA (442 nucleotides) under Blastocystis sp. RNAcentral's name for it is "SSU rRNA". It matches the Rfam family "Eukaryotic small subunit ribosomal RNA", at positions 477 to 933 of the family's 1831-position model. The record is from RNAcentral. Lineage: Eukaryota; Bigyra; Opalinata; Blastocystidae.
ACAAUGCGGAACAAUGUUUUGCAAUUGGAUUGAGAACAACGUACAAACCUUAUCGAUAAACAAUUGGAGGGCAAGUCUGGUGCCAGCAGCCGCGGUAAUUCCAGCUCCAAUAGCGUAUAUUAACGUUGUUGCAGUUAAAAAGCUCGUAGUUGAAAUGAAGGGUAGUUGUGUAAUGAAUACAUUCGUGUAUUUUGUUAUUCAACUACCCUCCUUCUAAAUUCGAUAUAUGAGUAUUAAUUUACUUGUAUAUGGUUUUAGACCUUUACUGUGAGAAAAUUAGAGUGUUCAAAGCAGGCAUUUGCUUGAAUAUAUUAGCAUGGAAUAAUCAUGUAUGAUUUUCAUGAUGUAUUUGAUUGGUUUGGUUCAUGAGAAUAAGAUUAAAAGGGACAGUUGGGGGUAUUCAUAUUCAAUAGUCAGAGGUGAAAUUCUCGGAUUUAUGGAA